RNAcentral lists this unclassified non-coding RNA (331 nucleotides) under soil metagenome. RNAcentral's name for it is "partial contains 5.8S ribosomal RNA, internal transcribed spacer 2, and large subunit ribosomal RNA". The stretch from base 1 to 120 matches the Rfam family "5.8S ribosomal RNA", at positions 35 to 154 of the family's 154-position model. The record is from RNAcentral.
GAUGAAGAACGUAGCGAAAUGCGAUAAGUAAUGUGAAUUGCAGAAUUCAGUGAAUCAUCGAAUCUUUGAACGCACAUUGCGCCCCCUGGUAUUCCGGGGGGCAUGCCUGUUCGAGCGUCAUUUCACCACUCAAGCCUGGCUUGGUAUUGGGCAACGCGGUCCGCCGCGUGCCUCAAAUCGACCGGCUGGGUCUUCUGUCCCCUAAGCGUUGUGGAAACUAUUCGCUAAAGGGUGUUCGGGAGGCUACGCCGUAAAACAACCCCAUUUCUAAGGUUGACCUCGGAUCAGGUAGGGAUACCCGCUGAACUUAAGCAUAUCAAUAAGCGGAGGA